GCCUUCGUGGUGUAGUGGUUAGCACGCUCGACGCGUAACCGAAAGGUCCGUGGUUCGAUUCCCGGCUAAGGCG
Molecule: transfer RNA, 73 nt
Filed under: Stegodyphus mimosarum
Lineage: Eukaryota; Metazoa; Arthropoda; Arachnida; Araneae; Eresidae
Rfam family: tRNA
About the family: Transfer RNA (tRNA) molecules are approximately 80 nucleotides in length. Their secondary structure includes four short double-helical elements and three loops (D, anti-codon, and T loops).
Source: Rfam by way of RNAcentral